GGCCGGGUGGCGGAGAGUUAACGCGGCGGAUUGCAAAUCCGCUUACCCUGGUUCAAUUCCAGGCCCGGCCUCCA
RNAcentral lists this transfer RNA (74 nucleotides) under Brucella tritici. RNAcentral's name for it is "Ochrobactrum tritici tRNA-Cys". It matches the Rfam family "tRNA". Rfam says of the family: Transfer RNA (tRNA) molecules are approximately 80 nucleotides in length. Their secondary structure includes four short double-helical elements and three loops (D, anti-codon, and T loops). Lineage: Bacteria; Pseudomonadati; Pseudomonadota; Alphaproteobacteria; Hyphomicrobiales; Brucellaceae. The record is from RNAcentral.